Mercenaria mercenaria is the source of this 2906-nucleotide RNA transcript. It is a transcript of the gene named phospholipase A2 inhibitor-like, with no coding region annotated. The transcript has 5 exons. The record is from RefSeq and is a predicted model, not a curated record. NCBI's taxonomy places the organism in Eukaryota, Metazoa, Mollusca, Bivalvia, Venerida, Veneridae.
AUAUAUCACUAACUGUAAUUAAAGACAGUUUUUAAUUAACUAAAUUUUUCUCUUUAAUUCCAAACCGUUCGAAUGAUAUUCCACUGUCUUUGUUAAAUUGAUGUCGAUAUAAAAAAAGAACAAAAACAAUUUUAUUGACGGGCCUCACCCAAAUUUAUGACAAAUGCGAAUGAAAUGUGAUGUCGAGGACCAUUGUCAUCUUCAACAUCUAAAAUAUGUGUGUGUUAAUGAUUUCACGUGAUCAGUAACUGUCUGCUUAAAAUGGCAUCUUCAAGCUCUUCUUCAACGAUAGUGCUCAUCAUCUUGUCUGUUUCUUCUUUUGUGUCCAUAGAAACGACGGAAAGUAUAUAUGGAAAAUGUGACAAUCCUGACCAUACUUUUAACUGUAGUGGUGUUGGUUUGCUGGAGAUUCCAGGCGGAGAACAUAUUCCGUCCUACAUGGAAACAUUAGAUUUAUCAAACAAUCAUAUAAGUAAUAUCAGUUUUCUUAAUUAUCCUACAUUAAGUUCUUCGUUGUCAAAACUGAAUUUAUCAAAUAACCAAAUAUAUAUUGUUAAAAAGGAUGCCUUUAAACUUCUCACAAAUCUUGUUACUCUCGAUUUGUCAAAUAAUCUUAUAUUUGGACCUGACUUAGAUGAAAGCAUGUUUUACGAUUUAAAAAAAUUACAAUACUUGAUCUUAGAGAAAAAUCCUAUUAGACAUAUAAAGAAAGACACGUUUACAUUCAUGGAACUUCCAGCUGUACGGUACUUUGAUUUAUCUCACUGUGAAAUCAGCGAGCUGGAAGCUGGUUCCCUCGACCUACCAUCGCUGGAACACCUGGAUCUAAGCUGGAACAAGCUGCAGAACUUUAAGAGCGACUCGUUCCGUAUGCUCGUGAACCUACAAACUUUAGACAUGAGUCAUAAUAGAAUCACAGUGUUGGAACAGGUGCCGCACAUGCCGGAGCUGAUUAUAUGGAUACUGGACAAUAAUGGAAUGGAAAGGAUUGCAAUUAGAGAUGACCUUAUCGACUUCACAGAUAGUUUACAAAAACUGUACCUGAGAAACAACGACAUAAAGCGAUUCGAUGCAGAGAGUUUACCACUAGAUGACCUAGAUUCUCUUCAAGUGAUAGACAUGUCUAACAACAAACUGAAAUGUGACUGCAAGAUGAGGUGGAUCCGUUCAGAUGACUAUGACUUGAAGGGGAAAAACUAUACAUUCAUGUGCGAAAGCCCGUCAAAUGUAAGGAACAAUAAUCUUCUCGAAAUGGCACCGGAAGAUUUAAAAUGCGGGACAUCCUUGGCAAAGAUCUUGUUUAUCGUCGUGGUAUCAACAGUUGGGGCGCUAGCUCUAAUGUUGAUCAUUUUCUUUGUCAUACGGAGACGGCGGCGUCGGAAGCUUAAGCGGAAAGCUGCUCGAGGUGAUAGUGGAGGUGAUUAUGCUGCAGUGUAUGCACGUGAUGAGGAUGAUGUUAGAAUUUCACUGCCGGAUAAAAAUCAUUUGUUAGAAAAUGAGAGUGACAGAGAAUUUGAUGUUUGAAUUAUAUUUUUCUUGUGAUUUUGAUUAUUGUCUUCUGAACUUCAUUUAACAUUUUUCUGCGUUUAAUCAUUGUGUUGCUUUAAAAGGACAAUUUUCACGACAAUUCAGGUUACCAGUUUAUGUCUUACCACGGACGAGCGCGCUCGACUAGACGUCUACAUUGUUCCCACGUAAUCUUUGAUGGAGAAGUAACUCCGGUAGAAUAUAGCGCAUGUUAGACUAUAAAUGUUAUUUCCCUUUUUACUGACAAGCAGACAAGUUAAUGAUACAGACAUUGACAGUUCAGAUUGAAAACUUUCUUUAUUUUAGCAAAUCAUUGUUUUUCGGGGAAUUUAUCAUAAAAUUUAGAGGGUAAAUGUUCUGUGUUCUAUAAAUUUGAUGUUUUUCUGUAUUCUUUACACAUCCUUUCUGAACGAAAGGCUUUUUAUAACGAUAAGCAGUUAAUAAAAAUAAACCAAUUGCAAGAGAACAUAAAAAAUAGAGUCUUAGACUCUAUUUUUAUAAAGAUGAACAGAAAAUCUUAUGGACUAUACGUUGCUGGUAACACAAAUAUCAUCAAGUGUCUAGAAAUAUACAGUUACGAAGCUAAUAUAAAAAAGAAGUACGAAGUUCCGACGAAGAACAGUUGUUUCUUUCUUUUUUCAUUGUAUUUCGAGCCUCAAUUUGAAAAUUGUUAUAUUUCAAACUUUCAUAAUGCCUUUCUAUGUAUAGUGGCUUGUUUCUGGCAUGUCGUACUGUCGUGUGGUUGGCUGAUCAGAAGAUUGAAACAAUUCAAUUUCUUGCAUAAAAGCUACUUUUUUUCACUUGAUCCGCCCAUGUUUUAACGGGAGAAACAAGGCAAUUCACGUACUGUUAAUAUAUGUUUUUUUUAUCUUUGAAAUGCUUUGCCAGGGACGUAUAUGUAUUAAGGCGCAGCUGUUGGUAUAUAACAUAAGGGGAUAAAAUCAAAAUAUUUUGUUUCGCCUAUAUUUGAUUUUCAGUUUAUCUUAUAACAUUUAAAUGCACAUAGGGUUUUCUAUCUUAGACAAAAUUUCUUUACAAUUUUCAGAAAACAGUACAAUAAAAAUUUAGAUGUGUAUGUCACAUUUUUCUUAAAACUCUAGUGCACAUCUCAAACAAAUGUUCACCAGAUUAUGAUUUGAAUUUAAUGUGAAUGAAGAUGACAUUCUUUUUUACAUCUAAGGCUUAAAAAUUGUUAACAAACCAGACAGAUCUUGAAAAUUAAAAACUUGCUGUUCUUCCUGAAACAUGUUAACCUAGUUCAUUAUUAUUUUUGUACAACAAAAAAUUUUCUUUUUAUAAAAAGCGCCAAAAUAUAAUAAAUUUUAAAGUUAUCAAAUAUUUAUAAAAUAAAAGUUUGAUAAUAAUGUAGUUGCACUGUU